This is a long non-coding RNA of Armigeres subalbatus, 829 nucleotides long. RefSeq lists it as uncharacterized. NCBI's taxonomy places the organism in Eukaryota, Metazoa, Arthropoda, Insecta, Diptera, Culicidae. The transcript has 3 exons. The record is from RefSeq and is a predicted model, not a curated record.
UAUGUUUUAAUUGCAGGUCUUGAAAUAUUCAUGUUCUGAUCAAUUUAAAUUUAAAAAUUCAAAGGAACAAAAUCUUUCACUUUUAAUUUUACUUGGAGAAUGACUGGAUUUAGAUGAGCGUGUACAAUUUUGUUUGUGAUUAGUGAGAAGACGAAGUAAACGAAGUGUUCCUUUUAUAAUCGUCUAUCCGGUACAAAGUUAGUACGCUUUUUAUAUCGAAGUUGGAUUUUUCUCCAGAUACAGAUCCAGAUACAGAUUUUCUCCCAACUUCGGAAGUAGUGCGCUGGAUUCGCCUAAAGAUGCGCUAAACAACACAUCAAUUAGUUUGACAGAUAAAAUUUCGGAAGAAAGUUCGGUUCGGAAGUCCCGACUUCCGAAUUCUAAGUUGAUGCUACGCCGACAAUACUGAUUCUGCGAGCAAGCAACGGCCGAUCAUUUCCCGCUGUACCGUGAAAUUGAAUUAAUGAUAAAACACUGCUGCAUGCCACCAUCACUGAUGAUUCAAUAUCGUUCGGCGACUAUCAUCGAGCUAUAUCACCAACGGGAUACAAUAAAAAAUUAAACAGGAAAAAAUGCGAGCAGCAUUAGUUACAGCGGCUUCAGUGAGUAUAGCCGGUUGCAUCAUUGGCGACUGAAAUCUACGUUUAUGAAUCCCGGUCUGAAUAGCAGUUAACGCACUUAACAAUACCAAUACCAAUAUAAUUUUAAUUUUAAUUCGAACACAAAUUGAACUAAAGUCAAAUUGAAAUUAAAUUAAAACUGAAUUGAAUUUAAUUAAAACUGAAGUAGAAUUAUCCUUAAAAUAUAUUAAAAAUGAAACAAAAUUUAA